GUGGAAUCCAGUUUACACACCUAUUUUCUUUGGCACACAAAAUGUUCUUCUCUUUUUAAAUUUGUUUCCAACAUUAACAGAGCAGAAGGUUUCACAUAAAUAUCUGAGUUUCUGUCAUUUCUUGAAAAAAUAGCAGAUUUGGCUGUGCUGAGCCCCAAAUUCCGCAGAGCUAUGGUUACUGUUACUGAUUUAGGUGGAGCCAGGGUUCUAGUUCACGCCAGUCCUUACCACUCCUUCUAACCUUAACCUGACCUGUUUUAUUCUAUCACCUUAUCUGCCCAUGUCAGGAAAUGGUUGGUAAAUGCUCUUUUCUGUUCCCUA
Molecule: long non-coding RNA, 321 nt
Filed under: Homo sapiens (human)
Lineage: Eukaryota; Metazoa; Chordata; Mammalia; Primates; Hominidae
Description: non-protein coding lnc-ERMP1-2:1
Source: RNAcentral